GCGGACGUGGCGAAAUUGGUAGACGCAGGGGUCUUAAAAUCCCUCGGGCUUGCUUGUACGGUUUCGGCUCCAGUCGUCCGCACCA
RNAcentral lists this transfer RNA (85 nucleotides) under Microvirga sp. 3-52. RNAcentral's name for it is "tRNA-Leu". The record is from RNAcentral. Lineage: Bacteria; Pseudomonadati; Pseudomonadota; Alphaproteobacteria; Hyphomicrobiales; Methylobacteriaceae.